Molecule: long non-coding RNA, 798 nt
Organism: Saccoglossus kowalevskii
Lineage: Eukaryota; Metazoa; Hemichordata; Enteropneusta; Harrimaniidae
Source: RefSeq, a predicted model, not a curated record
CGCCAUCUUUGUUUUGCAUCUGAUCCCACGUUUGAGUUGCGUUGAAGAAAAACAAAGCAGGCACUGAAGUUGUUGAUAUAUACUGCAACAUAAUCUGCUUUCUUGACAAGUAUAUAUUCCAAUCACAUCUGUAGAUACAAGUUCUGCAAUCAUAGUGCCAGGGUACUAUCAUAAUGCUGGAAGUUACAUGUAAUGAUCGACUCGGCAAGAAAGUCAGAGUCAAGUGCAAUGAAGACGAUACAAUUGGUGACCUGAAAAAACUUGUGGCUGCACAAACUGGCACCAGACCAGAAAAAAUUGUCAUCAAGAAAUGGUAUACAGUCUACAAGGACCAUGUGACGAUAGGCGAUUAUGAAAUAAAAGAUGGAAUGAACUUGGAGCUCUACUACCAGUAAAGGCGUACUACAAUGGAUUUUUUUUUCAUCAUUAUUAUUAAACAUUUUUGGGAAUUCUUGUGUAUGUAUUCCACCAUCAUGAAACACUGGUGAUCUGAAUUAGGUCCUGACUGAGUAACACAGUAAAUUUAAUAUUUGUUGGUAAUUGAUGAUUACCACAACUAAUUGCCAUUUAAUGGUAUUUUCAAAAAUAAUGUCAACAUUUUUUCAAGAAGAAAUAUUACUAUUUCGGUGUUUAGGCCAAGAAAAAUGAAUUUUUCACAAAAGAAGCUAUGUCACCCGUUACCCAUUAUCUUGAGAAUGCUUGAGAAUCAAAAUGGUGGACUACAUAAUACUGAUAAACAGUUGAAUAUUCAUAAAGUGAAAUAAAAAUACUGUAAAUUGCAUUCUCUUAAUUUCUGAA